AGAACGAACGCUGGCGGCAUGCCUAAUACAUGCAAGUCGAACGAAGGCUUCGGCCUUAGUGGCGCACGGGUGCGUAACGCGUGGGAAUCUGCCCCUUGGUUCGGAAUAACAGUUGGAAACGACUGCUAAUACCGGAUGAUGACGAAAGUCCAAAGAUUUAUCGCCAAGGGAUGAGCCCGCGUAGGAUUAGCUAGUUGGUGAGGUAAAGGCUCACCAAGGCGACGAUCCUUAGCUGGUCUGAGAGGAUGAUCAGCCACACUGGGACUGAGACACGGCCCAGACUCCUACGGGAGGCAGCAGUAGGGAAUAUUGGACAAUGGGCGAAAGCCUGAUCCAGCAAUGCCGCGUGAGUGAUGAAGGCCUUAGGUUGUAAAGCUCUUUUACCCGAGAUGAUAAUGACGGUAUCGGAGAAUAAGCCCCGGCUAACUCCGCGCCAGCAGCCGC
RNAcentral lists this ribosomal RNA (444 nucleotides) under uncultured soil bacterium. Its description in RNAcentral is "bacterial SSU rRNA". It matches the Rfam family "Bacterial small subunit ribosomal RNA", at positions 26 to 518 of the family's 1533-position model. The record is from RNAcentral.